This 613-nucleotide long non-coding RNA is filed under the name Manacus vitellinus (golden-collared manakin). RNAcentral's name for it is "lncRNA (ENSMVIG00005009367.1)". Lineage: Eukaryota; Metazoa; Chordata; Aves; Passeriformes; Pipridae. The record is from RNAcentral.
CAGAGGGAGAGGAUGCUGUUUGCCUGAACGUUCCCUUCAGUGUGCAGCAGGUCUAAAGAUGUGACAACCACUUUGGUAUGUCCUCUGCCAUUCUGUGUGACACAGACCACUUGGGAAUUUGCAACCCUGACGAAUUGCCCCUUACAAGAUUCCUGCAGGAAGCACACAGAAGAACAAAACUUUGGAUUAUGCCUGUGAUGGGAAAAGCUGCAGCGAUGACUGACUGGAAAGGCUGAUCCUUCUCACACCAAAUACCACUGCCUUGCCACCAGAUGGAGGCAACACGUUCAGCUGCAAAACCAAAAGCAGGACCCAGCAGGUCCCGACCUGCGGCGACAGGGGCGGCUCUGCCCGGCCCCUCUGGAGCCUCAGCCUGGGACUGAACCCCCAACUUCAGCUUCUCCACUUCAAACUCCUGGAAAGAUGGGAAGCCCUUGAGCCCUUGAAGGCUGUGAGCCACUUGACCACUGCUCUUCACUGGAUAAACCACUCCUGCUUGUUUAUCUUUCCUGCUUUUUCAUACUCUGGACUAUCAAUAAGGUAAGAAAGUGCUUCUCAGGCUGCACCAACACUGUCAUGUGUGCUGAGCUCCUGAUGCACAGGCAGAAAUCAU